AAAUCAAGAGUUGGUUGCUUAGCUGACUGAGUCACCCAGGUGCCCCAGGAGAGAAUUUUAUUUUAAAAGUGUCAUCUUAAACUGCAAGAAUGUCUGUUAAACAUCACAAUUAAACAUGCCAGAGAAGCCAUGUAGACAUCUAGAAGCUUAAAGGUCACAGAAAAAAAGAUGAAACAGUAUCUGCCUUCAUGAAAUUUACUGGCUAGUUUCACAGACAAGACACACAUGUAUAAAACCAUCCAGAAAUUAUUAAAUAUUAACUAAUGGGAAUAAAGUACCCAUAAUGUAGGGCUAAGGAUAGCCAAAGAAAGGUACGGAGGCUUGAGCAACUAGAGAGAUUUUGUGAAGAAUUUUAAGUGGGCCCUGAGUGAUUAACAGGAUUUAAAUAGGCAGGGGAGGGAAAAUAAGUAAAUAGAGUAAACUAAAAAAAA
Lynx canadensis (Canada lynx) is the source of this 431-nucleotide long non-coding RNA. RefSeq lists it as uncharacterized. Lineage: Eukaryota; Metazoa; Chordata; Mammalia; Carnivora; Felidae. The record is from RefSeq and is a predicted model, not a curated record. The transcript is spliced from 2 exons.